RNAcentral lists this ribosomal RNA (301 nucleotides) under uncultured bacterium. Its description in RNAcentral is "partial 16S ribosomal RNA". It matches the Rfam family "Bacterial small subunit ribosomal RNA", at positions 509 to 807 of the family's 1533-position model. The record is from RNAcentral.
CAGCAGCCGCGGGAACACGGAGGGAGCUAGCGUUGUUCGGAAUUACUGGGCGUAAAGCGCGCGUAGGCGGUUACUCAAGUCAGAGGUGAAAGCCCGGGGCUCAACCCCGGAACUGCCUUUGAAACUAGGUGACUAGAAUCUUGGAGAGGUCAGUGGAAUUCCGAGUGUAGAGGUGAAAUUCGUAGAUAUUCGGAAGAACACCAGUGGCGAAGGCGACUGACUGGACAAGUAUUGACGCUGAGGUGCGAAAGCGUGGGGAGCAAACAGGAUUAGAUACCCCCGUAGUCCCUGUCUCUUAUAC